GCCACUAUGGCCGAGUGGUUAAGGCGUCUGAUUCAAGAUACUGAGCGCUAGCAUAACUAGCACAAUCUUGUGCCCCUUAGGGGUAUCAUAACCAGAUCUCGAGAGAGGCUCGCGUUCGAAUCGCGAUGGUGGCA
Verticillium longisporum is the source of this 134-nucleotide transfer RNA. It matches the Rfam family "tRNA". Rfam says of the family: Transfer RNA (tRNA) molecules are approximately 80 nucleotides in length. Their secondary structure includes four short double-helical elements and three loops (D, anti-codon, and T loops). The record is from Rfam. NCBI's taxonomy places the organism in Eukaryota, Fungi, Ascomycota, Sordariomycetes, Glomerellales, Plectosphaerellaceae.